UUGUUCGAAUAUUGGUUGGUAGCGAUAAUGCCCUAUCUUAAUAACUACGUUUGGUCUACAGAAUUGUCUUGUGUGUUCGGUUUGUAGCGUAUGGUCAUAUUCUUGAUGCUGUGCAACACUGCUGCGUAUGUAGUACUUAGCCUAUCGAUGUCUGUUCGCUUAUUAACUGUAUGGUCUGUAUUCGUGAUGUGACACAUUUCAAGGAAUGGUAGUAUGGUCGGUUUGUAGCUGUGAUCUAUAAUCUGUGUUAGGUCUAAGUUGAAUCUAUGGUUGUGUUGUAUGCAGUGUUGGAUUAGAGCGGUGGUUGUUUCUAUUAGUGUUGCUUUCGCUGUAUCUGUGUUAGUCUGACUGUUGCUCAUAAUUUUCUCCAGUUUGUUUACGUUACUUUUGUGUCCUAUCAGUCUCCUACUCAGGUUGUUUCUGGUCAUUCCAACGUAACAGCUAUCACAGUUGUUACAUGGAAUCUUGUAAAUUACGUUGCUUAUUUCUCCUCUAUUUGUAGGGUGUUUCACUUUCGUAUGGAGCUGGUUAAUCGUCCGUGAUUGUCUAGUGGUGAUCGUAAUGUUUGGGUAGUCCUUGGCCAGUAUCUUGGUGAUUCGUCGUGUGAGGGUUGUUCUGCUCUCUGUAGGUGAUUCAUCGGUCCGGUCGUGUUGAUAGUUUGGUUGAUGCUGGUUGUUCUGGUUUGGAGGUUUUGAUCUGCAAUGAUGACAUCAGACGAAUUUUGAAGCGGUGGAUCAAGUUGGGUGGGGUUUGCUGGCAGGAUGGCUGGCUGGGAUGGUGGCUGGUGUUGCGGCUGGCAUAAAGUGGAUCCUGUGGUAUUGCCGGAUGUUGACGAUGUUGUGGGUGGAACGGGCGAUAGCUGGCAUGAUGGUCGGCUGGGUGGGCUGUUGGUUUGUGGGUGGCUAACUGGCAUUAUGGCUGGUUGGGUGUGUGGCUGAUGAGUUAAUGUAAGUUAUUUUCGACAAAAUGAUGUAAAAGUUUAAAUUUGUACAUGUAAGUAAAUUCCAGUUCCCCUGAAGAAGACACUAAUCCCGUGUCGAAACGUUGGGCAGUUAAUAAACAUCGUUUCACUGUUAAAAGACUGCGUAGCCGUUUCUAAGAGAAAGUUGAAUCCCAACAGUCGAACCUCCAAUAGCAAAUAGUAUUUGAAUAUGUUCCAAAUGCAAAUAUAACUGAGCAGAUACUGAGAUUGUUGUGGACCCACUUCAGGUGAUAUAUAUUGAAGUUAUCAUUGCUCAGUAAAGUAGACUUAGAGACGUAAAAAGGGUUGGCUCUUGAAACCAAAUUAACAUGAAGACAUGAUUUAACUAAUGCUUUGUCCUCUCUUACAAGACUAAAAUGUAACUUCAAGAAAAUUAACAUCAAUGUGUGAGAAUAAUUAAACUGUCUUGGUAGUUUGCAAGAUAGGAAGUCAAAAUGACAGUUAAAGCAUUCAUUGAAGCUAGACGACAUAUUCAGAGCAGUUGCUAACCACUAACCUGUUAAGUAUCAUGCUAGUCAAAUGGCUAGUUGAAUUGGAUAUUUAAAAAAAAUCGAACAAUAAAAAAUGAAACUUUUCGGUUUAACUAGAAGUCUCAGGAAUUCGAGUAAAAAGCGCUUUAUAACCUAUUGAAUGCCACUAAAUGUUUAUGCGAUUCAAGUACAGUGACUUCUUGAGUAAUCACUUCUGAAGUCUUUGAAUAUAAAAUGUAUCGGGUGUGGUCAGGAGGGGCAUUCUGACUUAUGAUUGCCUAACACUGGAUAUAGUGCCAUUUUUGCUAAUAAGUGGGCCAUCUUGCCAAGAACUGUGGAACUUUGUUCUCUAAGUACAGCAGUGCGCUCAACAACAAAUUCUGCACAAUAAUUUCCUUACAGGAAGAGACAAAUUUUGAUCAGUUAAAGAAGUAUUGAAACUAUUAUUGAGGAGAAUAAUGUACAGUAUAUCAAAAGCACAAGAUAUUGGAAUAAUAAAAGAUAAUCAUUUCUGUAACUACAGGAAUAGAUAUAUCUAAUGAAAGCUGGAUCAUGAGGUUUGUUUUUCAGUCGAGCUUAUUAAUGCAAACAGAUACCAUUUAUUAACAUGUUACCUUGUUUGAAUUUUUAGAUUUCAUACACUGGAAAAACUGCAAAUAUUGUAUGCAUGUGUCGUACACAGAUUUUUGCAAUUUGUCUUAGAUAACCCUUUUCAUGUGUAGAUACACAUAGUUUAUAUAAGGUCCAUCGAUUUUAUGUGUGAUCCAGCGUGGAAAACGAGUAUGUGUGUACAAAUAAAAUUUAUAUAUCAAAUCCAUGGAUUUUUACCAAUAAAAAUGUGUGUACAUGUAUAAGUGAUAUUUGUGUUAAUAAGUUCAUUGAAAAUUUGAAUAAAAACGUGCUUUAAAUUGUUUCAGUACACAGAAAUGAAUCGUAGAGGCAAGCGUAAGAGCCAUCAUGACACAGACAAUCAUGGUCAGUGUGCACUACGUCAGACAUGUAAGCGUUAACAAAAAAAAUGAGGAUGUAUUUCAUCGAAAAAAAUGUGAAAUAAGUGAUAUAAUAGACAGAUGAUUGGGCUUUGCAAUAAUGCAGAAUAUUCUAGUCCGAUCCAACGAACUGAGAAUAUUUUCAAUAUGAUGAGCAUAUGUAGAAAAUCAGAGUUACUUAAAGAUAAAAAGUUCUAAAUUUUGACGGUACAUUGAAUGCGAAUAAUUUGGAAAAGGCUUGUUAAGAUAGCUUCAUUAGGUAUCUAGAGUGAGAACAUAAUAUGUUGAGGGGCUUUUGCAAUAUUUUGGAGGUACACCAUUAAAAUAAAUCCUACAGUUCAGAACCCAAAAGAGCGACAUCAAAGGAACAAAUUUUUGGUUUUGUAAUGUUAAAAUAGGUUUGAUUGAGCACGAAUCACUAGUUAAUGCGGGAAAAUAUGCAUCGUAGAAUGUAAACCUAUUGAACGACCAAACCGUAAAAAUAAACUCAUUCAGUUUGAAAGGUAAAUGGUAAAUCAUGAGAAUUCCGUAAUUAUCCGAAACAUGAUUCCUAAAAACGUGGACACCUAUUUAUUUUGUUAUCUGGAGAAAAUUGCUUUGUAUAUAAUAAUUGGCUACUAUCAUUACGUUUUCGGUUGGAAGCCGAAAUGACUGGCGGUGCGAAAAUUGAUGUUUAACCCAAGGUUUAACCUACUUAUAAACACAGCAACUCCAUUUAGAUUAGUGCUAAUUUAAGCUCUUAAGUAGCUUAAUGAUGCAACCGGUUCAAAUUUACGUCAAAACUGCAACUUUGCAUGUGCUUAAAUGCGUGAUUUCGAUUUGGUACUGCGACGAUGAUGUAUGUAUUAAGAAUUUGAGAUAAUUAUAGGAUUACAACAUGAAAAAAAGAAUGAAUAUUAAUAUUCUACUAUACUUUCAAACAGCUAGUGCGGUUGCGAGUUUUGUGAACAAUAUAUAUUAAAUAUAAUUCAAAAACUGGAUGUUUUCAAAUUACUAUUUAGCUAAAACUAGUAUUACAAAUAUUGCUUUGGACAAGUGACGUUUUUCUAAAUCGUGAUUUGAUUUAAAAAAAAUAAAGCCAAACUUCUGAAUAUAUUCUGAACAAGAAACGAGUUCCAGCGAAGUUCGCUAAAAUCAUAAAAUGAAAUAGUGUUUGUAUGACACUUGGACACUUUGGAUCGAAAACGAGUUAAUGGAUAUUGAUAAUUUUUCCACUGUAACAUUCGUGCACUGUUCCGACAUAUUAGUUAAAAAUGUCUGAAUAAUAAUCUGAAUAUACAUACCUUUUGUAUGAGAUUCUUCUAUGAAAGGACAUGUCAAAAAAAAUCAGUGGGUAGUAUACAAUGUUUGCAUGCUAGCUGUCAUUGAAAACAUUUAAGAAGAGGAAAGCAAUUCCAUUAAUUCAUCAGCAAAGGUAAUAUUUAGCUUGCACUCAGUAUUAAAAAUAUUUUGGGAUUUGGGAAAAUACUUGGGUCAAAAUAAUAUUUCAUUUUAGGUACAACCACAAGUAACGGCCAAGUAAUUUACCAAAAUGCCGAGCAGAGAUGGAUGACCAAAUGGAUGACUGUACUACUAAUUCUGAUGUGAGACUGAAGCGAGACGUUCAUAAACUGAGGAGACUAUAAGCGAAAACAACGUGGAGUGACCUUGCUGCGGAUCUGGAGAAAAAACGAGAUGUGGUACCUUGUGGUAUGCACAUAAUAAAUUAUUGUAUUACUCUAUUACGUUUAGCGUGUAUGUUUACAUUGAGUAUCUGUCAUAUGUGGAGAUGUUGUUAUUGUUGUCUGGAGUGUGAAUCAUUGUAUGUAAUAUUGAAGUAUCGGUAAUAAAGUGUAUACAAAUAAUGAA
Long non-coding RNA from Aedes albopictus (Asian tiger mosquito), 4289 nucleotides. RefSeq lists it as uncharacterized. The record is from RefSeq and is a predicted model, not a curated record. NCBI's taxonomy places the organism in Eukaryota, Metazoa, Arthropoda, Insecta, Diptera, Culicidae. The transcript has 2 exons.